RNAcentral lists this transfer RNA (69 nucleotides) under Marmota monax (woodchuck). RNAcentral's name for it is "tRNA.Ala". The record is from RNAcentral. Lineage: Eukaryota; Metazoa; Chordata; Mammalia; Rodentia; Sciuridae.
GUUUGUGGCUGAGUGGUAGAGCGCUCACCUAGCACAUGCGAAGCCCUGGGUUCGAUCCUCAGCAGCACA